AGCAACAUCAACUUCAGCAAAAGAGAAGCGGGACGUGCAGCCGAUGACAAAGCCAAGAGGAAGGUGAAAACAUACGAGGCGUUGAUCAAUCAAAACUACUUAUUCGUACCAUUCUCGGUCGAAACGAUGGGUCCGUGGAGUCGCGAGGCCAUGGGCUUCUUCAAUGAUCUGAGUUAAGCAUGGCAAUACAACGGGGGAAUGCUGCAGCGGUCAUGGGAACCUUUAGAGAAAACGAAAAGAUGGACGAAGUUUUUUAUCUGCUGUCAUCUUAAAUUGUAUUUUUGUAAAUUGUAAA
This is a long non-coding RNA of Bradysia coprophila, 295 nucleotides long. The record is from RefSeq and is a predicted model, not a curated record. Lineage: Eukaryota; Metazoa; Arthropoda; Insecta; Diptera; Sciaridae.